RNAcentral lists this small RNA (50 nucleotides) under Arabidopsis thaliana (thale cress). Its description in RNAcentral is "ATSL182430". Lineage: Eukaryota; Viridiplantae; Streptophyta; Magnoliopsida; Brassicales; Brassicaceae. The record is from RNAcentral.
AGAGAGAGAGAAGAAGAAGAUGAAGAAGAAGUUGGAGUGAAUUGCAAGAA